Molecule: ribosomal RNA, 1857 nt
Filed under: human gut metagenome
Description: bacterial LSU rRNA
Rfam family: Bacterial large subunit ribosomal RNA
Source: RNAcentral
GCCUUGGCAUUGGGAGCCGAAGAAGGACGUGGUUAACUGCGAAAAGCUACGGGGAGUCGUAAGCAGACAUUGAUCCGUAGAUGUCCGAAUGGAGCAAUCCGCAUGGAGUUAGUCCAUGCAUCCAUAAGUGAAUUCAUAGCUUAUGGAGGGGAACCGCCUGAACUGAAACAUCUAAGUAGGGCGAGGAAGAGAAAUCAAACGAGAUUUCGUAAGUAGUGGCGAGCGAACGCGAAAGAGGCUAAACCAAGAGAAGAAAUUCUUUUGGGGUUACGGACUGCGAUAUGUAUCUGAGGACUUAGCAGAAUGGUAUGGGAAAGCCAACCAGAGAAUGUGAUAGUCAUGUAUGCGAAAAGGAAUCAGAGCUAGCAGGAUCCAAAGUACCGCGGGACACGAGGAAUCCCGUGGGAAGUCGGGGGGACCACCCUCCAAGCCUAAAUACUACCCAAUGACCGAUAGCGAAAAGUACUGUGAAGGAACGGUGAAAAGAACCCCGGGAGGGGAGUGAAAAGAACCUGAAACUUUAUGCUUACAAGCACAUAGAGCACGUCAAAGUGUGAUAUGGUACCUUUUGUAGAAUGGUCCGGCGAGUUAUUGUAUGCAGCAAGGUUAAGGUCUUCAGGACUGAAGCCGAAGCGAGAGCGAGUCUGACAAGGGCGAUAAGUUGUAUGCAAUAGACCCGAAACCGGGUGACCUAGCCAUGUUCAGGUUGAAGUGGAGGUAAAGCUCCAUGGAGGACCGAACCGACCUCCGUUGAAAAGGCGGCGGAUGAAAUGUGGCUAGCGGAGAAAUUCCAAUCGAACCCGGAAAUAGCUGGUUCUCCCCGAAAUAGCUUUAGGGCUAGCGUUGUAUUAGAUUUCUGGGGGUAAAGCACUGAAUAGGCUAGGGGCCGAGAGGUUACUGAACCUUAUCAAACUAAGAAUACCAGAAAAUUGAUGUACAGCAGUCAGACUAUGUGAGAUAAGUCUCAUAGUCAAAAGGGAAACAGCCCAGACCCACAGCUAAGGUCCCAAAACAGAUUUAAGUGGAAAAGGAUGUGGGAUUGCCCAGACAACCAGGAUGUUGGCUUAGAAGCAGCCACACAUUAAAAGAGUGCGUAAUAGCUCACUGGUCGAGUGAUCCUGCGCCGAAAAUUCAACGGGGCUAAAAUUUGUACCGAAGCUUGGGCUUGAUACUUCGUAUCAGGGGUAGGGGAGCGUCAUGUAUGAGGUGAAGUCAUAGCGGAAGCGGUGGUGGAUUGUACAUGAGAGAGAAUGCCGGAAUGAGUAGCGAGAAUUAUGUGAGAAUCAUAAUGGCCGAAAAUCUAAGGUUUCCUGAGGAAGGUUCGUCCGCUCAGGGUAAGCCGGGAGCUAAGGUGAGGCGGAAACGCGUAGCCGAUGCACAUACGGUAGAGAUUCCGUAGCCUCCGAAAAGUAAAGCACAGGGACGCUUCAGAAGUGUUACGCCGGGCGAUGGUUGCCCCGGUUGUAAAGGACACAAUUGAGUGGAAGGUAACAUGGAUGGAGACAAGAAAAGCUGUGUGUAUCUGGAAGGAGCCCGUACCGCAAACCGACACAGGUAGAUAGGAAGAAGAUUCUAAGGCCAGCGGGAGAAGGGUUGUUAAGGAACUCGGCAAGUUGACCCCGUAACUUCGGGAGAAGGGGUGCUUACGAAGGUAAGCCGCAGAGAAUAGGCCCAAGCGACUGUUUAGCAAAAACACAGCUCUAUGCUAAAUCGAAAGAUGACGUAUAUGGGGUGACACCUGCCCGGUGCUGGAAGGUUAAGAGGAGAUGUGAGAGCAUUGAAUUGAAGCCCCAGUAAACGGCGGCCGUAACUAUAACGGUCCUAAGGUAGCGAAAUUCCUUGUCAGGUAAGUUCUGA